RNAcentral lists this long non-coding RNA (974 nucleotides) under Equus asinus (donkey). Its description in RNAcentral is "lncRNA (ENSEASG00005034743.1)". The record is from RNAcentral. Lineage: Eukaryota; Metazoa; Chordata; Mammalia; Perissodactyla; Equidae.
GCUUGCUAAGGUACUCAGCUCCCAGCAUUAAAAAAAUGCUGUUGAUAUACCAUUUUGAUUGAAAACACUUCUUUGCAAACCCUAGUCUUGGGAUAGGAGGAAAAUAACAACGGCUACGAUCACUACAACUGAUUUGCUAUGAUUCUCUCUGCUGAAAUUGAGAUAAAAUUUGCCACAUGCCACUCUGAAAUUGAUUACCUUCUCAACUCAGUCAAUAGCAAAGAACUUGGUCUCACUAAUUCAGAGUGGCUUAGGUCAUGCCUCCCGCUGACAGUGUGACGGAGAAGCCAAAAGGAGCAGCUCUAGGGAGGGGCAGAGAAGGCAGCUCUUUUAUCAGAAUCUUCCUCUUCUUCCCUUAAUGCACAAAUGGCCCUGAGCUAACAUCUGCCGCCAAUCCUCUUUUUGCUGAGGAAGACUGGCCCUGAGCUAAUAUCCAUGCCCAUCUUCCUCUACUUUAUGUGUGGGACGCCUACCACAGCAUCGCUUGACAAGCAGUGCCACAUCUUCACCCGGAAUCUGAACCCGCAAACCCCGGGCCACUGAAGCAGAACAUGGCACUUAACCACUGCGUCACAAGGCCAGCCCCUCUUUUGCCUUCUUAGUAGUAAAGUUACAAGGAGAUCUUCUCUUUCCUCUUUUGAUGUAUUUCAACAUACCAUGGCUUCUACACCAUACAAAUAAAAUUGAAGGAGAGUGAAGAACGUGAAACAGUAGACACAGUUAAAUGAUUAUUCACUGAUAGCAGGAGAAUCAGGCAAAUCCCACCACCUGUUUAUGGCCUCCCAACACAGACUCACUGACCAGAGAAACCAUCAGUUGCUGCUACAACAUGGCUUGAUGAGUGGUGUCGGUCUGCACCUGAGAUCCAAACUUGAGAACCGGGCCGCUGAAGCGGAGCAUGCCAGACUUAACCACUACACCACGGGGCUGACACCACAGUGUUUUUAUUACUAAAUAAAAUAUUUUUCAUUAAA